UACGUAGGUGGCAAGCGUUGUCCGGAUUUACUGGGCGUAAAGGGCGCGCAGGCGGUCGAUUUAGUCGCGUGUGAAAGCCCCCGGCUCAACUGGGGAGGGUCACGCGAUACUGAUCGACUCGAAGGCAGGAGAGGGUAGUGGAAUUCCCGGUGUAGUGGUGAAAUGCGUAGAUAUCGGGAGGAACACCAGUGGCGAAGGCGACUACCUGGCCUGUUCUUGACGCUGAGGCGCGAAAGCUAGGGGAGCAAACGGG
RNAcentral lists this ribosomal RNA (253 nucleotides) under uncultured bacterium. Its description in RNAcentral is "partial 16S ribosomal RNA". It matches the Rfam family "Bacterial small subunit ribosomal RNA", at positions 524 to 776 of the family's 1533-position model. The record is from RNAcentral.